This 512-nucleotide ribosomal RNA is filed under the name uncultured delta proteobacterium. RNAcentral's name for it is "bacterial SSU rRNA". It matches the Rfam family "Bacterial small subunit ribosomal RNA", at positions 9 to 494 of the family's 1533-position model. The record is from RNAcentral. Lineage: Bacteria; Deltaproteobacteria. RNAcentral also lists the same sequence under 1 other name.
GAGUUUGAUCGUGGCUCAGAACGAACGUUAGCGGCGCGCCUAACACAUGCAAGUCGAGCGAGAAAGGGAGCAAUCCCCGGUACAGCGGCGCACGGGUGAGUAACACGUAGGUAAUCUGCCCUUGAGUUGGGGAUAACCUUCCGAAAGGAGGGCUAAUACCGAAUGAGACCACGGAGUCGAGAGGCUCUGAGGUCAAAGCCGGCCACUUCACGAAAGCUGGUGCUCGAGGAUGAGCCUGCGGCCCAUCAGCUAGUUGGUAGGGUAACGGCCUACCAAGGCUAAGACGGGUAGCUGGUCUGAGAGGAUGAACAGCCACACUGGAACUGAGACACGGUCCAGACUCCUACGGGAGGCAGCAGUGGGGAAUCUUGCGCAAUGGGCGAAAGCCUGACGCAGCGACGCCGCGUGAGCGAUGAAGGCCUUCGGGUUGUAAGACUCUGUGGGGAGGAGGAAGAAUAAGUAGCACGCUAACAUACGUGCAUGAUGACGGUACCGUCCUUACGUCAAGCACC